This is a long non-coding RNA of Chenopodium quinoa (quinoa), 1117 nucleotides long. RefSeq lists it as uncharacterized. Lineage: Eukaryota; Viridiplantae; Streptophyta; Magnoliopsida; Caryophyllales; Amaranthaceae. The transcript has 3 exons. The record is from RefSeq and is a predicted model, not a curated record.
UAGGUGUUUGCAAAACGAAAUCAAUAAGAAUGAAGUUUAAAACACCAUUGGAUUUUUUUGUCCCCAAAGGUUAGGAAUGGUUAAAUCUCGUCUUUCCUCACUGACAAGUUAUUUGAACCAUUCAAUGACCAAGCAACGUACGAAACAAUAUAUACUUGCCCCUUUCUAUCAAGAGUAAGCACACACAACUCAUAAUUAAUCUCAUUACUUUGUUAACCUCUUUUUUUUUUGUGAAUGAUUUAUCUUUUUUUUUUUCUUACUGUAUGUUGUUUAUUCAUAAGUCAUCAUUAGAUGCUAGUUGUUAUUUGCCCCCAAAAAGGAGUAGCUUUUUUCUUCAAUUCUUUGGCAGAUUGGUCAUUAGAUAGUGUGCAUCUCAAAGGAGCAUUGUAGUAUUACAGUUUAAUCUUUUUUUGUUACUUGUUUGAUAAUAUAGAUGCUGGUGGUGAUAAGAUGAAUUGCCAAAGGUUAUAAGUGAUGACUUUCAUGGUGUUUGAGAAGAUUUGAUUGUAUAUUGUAAUGUUGCAGAUGUUACAUGCCGGAAGUAUUGGUGGUUUUAGAUGCUUUUAAUAAUGGCAUAGUGCCGUAUAGGUCAAUUUUAUGGAGAGAUGCUGCCGAUUUUUUUGUAGGUUUGAUUAGUGUUUUAUUUCCAUAUGUAAUGCAUUCGUAUCAAAUUUGUGUACAGGGCAUAUAGAACUUUAAUGAAUAUUAAAAAAGGAUCUCGGAAAACAAAGCUAACGUGGAAUGUCAUUAAGCGUUUCAGUGUUCUCGACAAACAAGCGGAGUUGAGUGUGGCUAUUAUGUCAUGAAGUAUAUGGAUCAAAUUGUCUCACUUAUACUACAAAAAGAUAACGAUUGGGAAAAGCAUUUCUCUCUUCAACCUUUCACUAAGGAGGUGAUCGAUGAUAUUCGAGAAAGAUGGUGUAGAUUUUUUUUAUGAUAAAUGUUUGUAGUUUAAUGAGAAUGAAACUUGUACUCAAAAGUUCGCGAACAAAGUUAUUUCAGUUUUUUUUUUUCUUCGGUUUUUAUAGCACAUACAAUUUUCAUGUAUGUACUCGUUUUAUUAGAAAAUUUUCAAUUAUUAAUAUAUUUUAGUUAAUUUUGUAUUUAUUAGUUUAAA